AGAGUUUGAUCUGGCUCAGAUUGAACGCUGGCGGCAUGCCUUACACAUGCAAGUCGAACGGCAGCACGGGGGCAACCCUGGUGGCGAGUGGCGAACGGGUGAGUAAUACAUCGGAACGUGUCCUGUAGUGGGGGAUAGCCCGGCGAAAGCCGGAUUAAUACCGCAUACGCUCUACGGAGGAAAGGGGGGGAUCUUAGGACCUCCCGCUACAGGGGCGGCCGAUGGCAGAUUAGCUAGUUGGUGGGGUAAAGGCCUACCAAGGCGACGAUCUGUAGCUGGUCUGAGAGGACGACCAGCCACACUGGGACUGAGACACGGCCCAGACUCCUACGGGAGGCAGCAGUGGGGAAUUUUGGACAAUGGGGGAAACCCUGAUCCAGCAAUGCCGCGUGUGUGAAGAAGGCCUUCGGGUUGUAAAGCACUUUUGUCCGGAAAGAAAUCCUUCGAGUUAAUACCUUGGGGGGAUGACGGUACCGGAAGAAUAAGCACCGGCUAACUACGUGCCAGCAGCCGCGGUAAUACGUAGGGUGCAAGCGUUAAUCGGAAUUACUGGGCGUAAAGCGUGCGCAGGCGGUUCGCUAAGACAGAUGUGAAAUCCCCGGGCUUAACCUGGGAACUGCAUUUGUGACUGGCGGGCUAGAGUAUGGCAGAGGGGGGUAGAAUUCCACGUAGCAGUGAAAUGCGUAGAGAUGUGGAGGAAUACCGAUGGCGAAGGCAGCCCCCUGGGCCAAUACUGACGCUCAUGCACGAAAGCGUGGGGAGCAAACAGGAUUAGAUACCCUAGUAGUCC
Molecule: ribosomal RNA, 790 nt
Filed under: uncultured bacterium
Lineage: Bacteria
Description: bacterial SSU rRNA
Rfam family: Bacterial small subunit ribosomal RNA
Source: RNAcentral